RNAcentral lists this ribosomal RNA (253 nucleotides) under uncultured bacterium. Its description in RNAcentral is "partial 16S ribosomal RNA". It matches the Rfam family "Bacterial small subunit ribosomal RNA", at positions 524 to 776 of the family's 1533-position model. The record is from RNAcentral.
UACGAAGGGGACUAGCGUUGUUCGGAUUUACUGGGCGUAAAGCGCGCGUAGGCGGCUUUGUAAGUUAGAGGUGAAAGCCCGGAGCUCAACUCCGGAACUGCCUUUAAGACUGCAUCGCUUGAAUCCAGGAGAGGUGAGUGGAAUUCCGAGUGUAGAGGUGAAAUUCGUAGAUAUUCGGAAGAACACCAGUGGCGAAGGCGGCUCACUGGACUGGUAUUGACGCUGAGGUGCGAAAGCGUGGGGAGCAAACAGG